UACAGAGGUGGCAAGCGUUGUUCGGAAUUACUGGGCGUAAAGGGCGCGUAGGCGGCUCGCUAAGUCGGGUGUGAAAACUCUGGGCUCAACCCAGAGCCUGCAUUCGAAACUGACGAGCUAGAGUUCUGGAGGGGAAAGCGGAAUUCCUGGUGUAGCGGUGAAAUGCGUAGAUAUCAGGAGGAACACCGGUGGCGAAGGCGGUUUUCUGGACAGAAACUGACGCUGAUGCGCGAAAGCUAGGGGAGCAAACAGG
RNAcentral lists this ribosomal RNA (253 nucleotides) under uncultured bacterium. RNAcentral describes it as "partial 16S ribosomal RNA". It matches the Rfam family "Bacterial small subunit ribosomal RNA", at positions 524 to 776 of the family's 1533-position model. The record is from RNAcentral.